AGAGCGAACGCUGGCGGCAGGCCUAAUACAUGCAAGUCGAACGAGCCCUUCGGGGUUAGUGGCGGACGGGUGAGUAACACGUGGGAACGUGCCUUUUGGUUCGGAACAACUCAGGGAAACUUGAGCUAAUACCGAAUGUGCCCUUCGGGGAAGGAUUAUCGCCAUUAGAGCGGCCCGCGUCUGAUUAGCUAGUUGGUGAGGUAAAGGCCCACCAAGGCUACGAUCAGUAGCUGGUCUGAGAGGAUGAUCAGCCACACUGGGACUGAGACACGGCCCAGACUCCUACGGGAGGCAGCAGUAGGGAAUCUUGCGCAAUGGGCGAAAGCCUGACGCAGCCAUGCCGCGUGAAUGAUGAAGGUCUUAGGAUUGUAAAAUUCUUUCAGCGGGGACGAUAAUGACGGUACCCGCAGAAGAACGCCCCGGCUAACUUCGCGCCAGCAGCCGC
Molecule: ribosomal RNA, 445 nt
Filed under: uncultured bacterium
Lineage: Bacteria
Description: SSU rRNA
Rfam family: Bacterial small subunit ribosomal RNA
Source: RNAcentral